RNAcentral lists this ribosomal RNA (505 nucleotides) under uncultured bacterium. RNAcentral's name for it is "partial 16S ribosomal RNA". It matches the Rfam family "Bacterial small subunit ribosomal RNA", at positions 28 to 507 of the family's 1533-position model. The record is from RNAcentral.
GACGAACGCUGGCGGCGUGCCUAAUACAUGCAAGUAGAACGCACAGUUUAUACCGUAGCUUGCUCCACCAUAGACUGUGAGUUGCGAACGGGUGAGUAACGCGUAGGUAACCUGCCUGGUAGCGGGGGAUAACUAUUGGAAACGAUAGCUAAUACCGCAUAAUAUUAAUUAUUGCAUGAUAAUUAAUUGAAAGGUGCAAUUGCACCACUACCAGAUGGACCUGCGUUGUAUUAGCUAGUAGGUGAGGUAACGGCUCACCUAGGCGACGAUACAUAGCCGACCUGAGAGGGUGAUCGGCCACACUGGGACUGGGACACGGCCCAGACUCCUACGGGAGGCAGCAGUAGGGAAUCUUCGGCAAUGGACGAAAGUCUGACCGAGCAACGCCGCGUGAGUGAAGAAGGUUUUCGGAUCGUAAAGCUCUGUUGUAAGAGAAGAACGGGUGUGAGAGUGGAAAGUUCACACUGUGACGGUAUCUUACCAGAAAGGGACGGCUAACUACGUG